Molecule: long non-coding RNA, 2103 nt
Filed under: Lupinus angustifolius (narrow-leaved blue lupine)
Lineage: Eukaryota; Viridiplantae; Streptophyta; Magnoliopsida; Fabales; Fabaceae
Description: long non-coding RNA (LANG_LNC000406)
Source: RNAcentral
CGUGAGUACUUUUUGUGUGGUAUUGACAAUAAUCAAUAUAUUAAUUCGAGUUAUUAAAGAGAAUAAGCAUAACAUCUUUUAGAUAGCAUUUUUCUAAGUUGAUACAUUACUCUUUUUAUGUAUACGCAUACAUAUGGUUGGAGCUUUGCUAGGGUUUGUUCCAAGCUUCUUGGAGAUCUAGAAGUAAUCUAGACAUGAGUUCUUUCAUCCCUUGGAGCUUUCUGGGAGAGCUAGACAAUGCCCUUGCAAAAGUAGCUCCUUCAAAUCCUUCCUCCGCGAGGAAAUCAUUUGCACAGGUUCUACAAAAUUCAUGUGAUAUUAUUGUGAUUUUGUAGUUGCCUCAGCCUUGCAUCAAAGGGGAUGCAAUAGCAAUAAAAAUUCCGAAAGAUGACUACCAAGCAGGGCUGCAGAGGUGUAAAAAAUCACUUUCAUGGCAAACUCAUCUUAGCAAAGGGAGAUAAUCCCAUCAAAUUUCUAGAUCUGAAAGGCAAACUCUCAUCUUUGUGGUCAACGAUAGGGAACUAGAAUAUGGUAUCUUUGGAGAAAGGAUAUUAUGAUUUUUCUUUCUCCAUGAUGGAAGACAUGAGAAGCGUAUGCUCAGUUGGAGCAUGAAGCCUGAAACCUGGAUUCCUUAGGAUGUUUCAAUGGACCCAAUAUUUUAAUUCAAACCACCAAAGACAAACUCAUUCUCAAUGCUGGGUCAAAAUUCUUGAGGCCUUCCUCAGGAACAUUGGAGCCAGAUAAUAUUACUAGGAUUCCCCCUAGAUUGCCUUUAGAUGAAUUCAAGGCGUUCUGUGAUUGCACUAAUUUAAUCCAUUUAGUUACUAGAGGCAACCUUUUCACUUGGUCCAACAAGAGAAGAUGUCAAGCUCUUAGUGAAAAGAGACUUGAUAAGAGUAUUGUAAUGAAAAGUGGCUUAAUUAUUGGAAUCAAAUCACUUGUUGCACUCUGACAAAAAUUUCCUCAGAUCACCAUCCUAUAAUUCUUUGUUCUACUGCAACAAAUAAGCUUACAGCUAUCCUUUUUAGAUUUCAUAAAAUGUGAAUUGAUUUUAUAGGGACCAUUUUCAUAAGAUUAGUCUAAACUGUCCAAAAUACAUUGUAACUAUCGUUUCAGUUCAUCAAAUUGAAAAGUUCCCAACAGAGACUAUCCUUGAAAUAGUUGCAGUAUUUCACAUGUGAUUCUUUCAGAUUUUCCAUUGUGUUUUACUAAUUUUAAGGUCAUUAUCAAAGUAAAAAUAUCAUACUUUAAAGAGAGCAAAAUACACUAUAGAUAUCUAAAAUACACUUCAAAACGAAAAGUCCAGAAAAUAAACUCAUAUUUAAUUUUCGUAAACAUUCAUAUCCAUAAAAUAUCACAAAGAUAUUAUGUUUCCGAUUUAGUAUGAUUUUGUGGUGAUUUUCCACGAAAAUGAAAGAAUAAAGAAGGAAAUACAAAAAAUAAACCUUUUUUUAUAGACAUACUAUCAUAUUUUUAGGAUACUGAAACUCUUAAGUCUAAAGUUCCAGAACCUGAAUAGCUUCUUUCAUUUUUCUGAAAAUCUAUUGCCCAAUAAAAGCAUAAAAAACACAUCAAAAUCACUUCUACUUGCUUCCCUAUUUAGAUCCAACUUUCUCACCACCAAAAGUGAGUUCUUUUUCCAGAACUAAAAAUCAUGAGGAAAACUUAACAUUUAUCUUAACUACUAAAUCAUUUUAAGGUGAUUUUUGAAACUUUUAAGUAUUAAAUAUAAGUUCUUAAGCUUCCAAAAGCCACUUAAGCUUGUCCCCAUGUUCCACUCUCUUUGUCAACAUCAAAAGGUGACUUAUAGAAGGAUUACAACCAUGAGGUUUUCAUAAGUAUUUCACCUUUUAAAACAAAGGAUGUGUUCUUGGAUCAUAAAUCAUAAAAUUUGAGAAAUAUACAUAAAACAAAUAUUAAAAGGGAUGAAUAAGAAAUAAAAUGAGUUAAAAGUCCCAAAUAAGUAGUUACCUAGUGCAAGAGCAAGACUUUGAAGAGUUUUUGUAUAGGUUGGAGUUGCAAAACUCCUUCCCUCACUACUCCAAGGGCCACACGGUUUUGGGAUGAAGAAGAGAGGGAUGAAAACUUUUUUCACCUCUUUAG